GUAUUGUUGUCAAGAAAUACACAAGUAAAUUCACUAAUCUAUUUAUUAAAAUUCCAUUCCGGACACUAUUUACAUAACAUACAGUUUACAAAAAUGUAUAAUUGAAAUAUUCAUUAGCAAAUUACUUUCACACGGUAUAAAAUCGGCAACAGUGUCUAAUACUGUACACACACAAAAACCCACGCAUAGCGUCCAAUCCUAUGCGGACAAAACCACGCAACAGUGUCCAAUACUGUGCGGACAAAACCACGCUUCAGUGUCCAAUACUGAGCGGAACCACGCAACAGUCUCCAAUACUGUGCGGACAAAACCACGCAUCAGCGUCCAAUACUGAGCGGAACCACGCAACAGUCUCCAAUACUGUGCGGACAAAACCACGCAUCAGCGUCCAAUACUGAGCGGAACCACGCAACAGUCUCCAAUACUGUGCGGACAAAAAGAAUAUAAGAAAUAAUAAUAAUUCCAAAGCUAUCAGUAAUCUGCUAAGAUAUAUCUAAAAAUGUUAUGCGCCUAGAAUAACAAAAAUCCUUUUUAAAUAACGUUUCACAUUGUAUUGUUCUUAAAUUUCUUGCCUUCAAUCCUCUCUAA
RNAcentral lists this long non-coding RNA (588 nucleotides) under Mytilus galloprovincialis (Mediterranean mussel). The record is from RNAcentral. Lineage: Eukaryota; Metazoa; Mollusca; Bivalvia; Mytilida; Mytilidae.